This 508-nucleotide unclassified non-coding RNA is filed under the name Pterandra hatschbachii. Its description in RNAcentral is "partial contains external transcribed spacer and 18S ribosomal RNA". The stretch from base 449 to 508 matches the Rfam family "Eukaryotic small subunit ribosomal RNA", at positions 1 to 60 of the family's 1831-position model. Lineage: Eukaryota; Viridiplantae; Streptophyta; Magnoliopsida; Malpighiales; Malpighiaceae. The record is from RNAcentral.
GGCGUGUGAGGGGUGUUUGGUUUGUCGGGAUGGUAGGCUCCUUGCUGGUGCAUCGAACUACCGGCCCGCAAUCCACUUCGUGGCCUCGAGCGCGACCAGUUCUCGCUCGUGGGGUUGUGGUGUUCCUGUAUUUGAUACCCACGAUGGCGGAAAUCUAUUGAUAGCGGUGCGAUUCUCCGCCCUGUGCCUCCCUCGAGGGGGCGCUGGCGGACCAUGCAGCUUGGCCCCUCUUUCCUGGCACGCUUGUUAGGCUGCCUCGGACAGUAUGGGUCCAACGCUCGUGCUCUCGGAUGCGGAAAAUUGUGGGGGCGGAGGGUGCUCACCCUCCUAUGAGCCCGACCCGAGAACGUCCCUCGAUGUGCACGACAACCUUCGCGCGCCGCGUUUUUCUCUUGCACCCACGGUGCGAGGGCGAAGCGCGCGGGCGUCGGUGUCGCGGAAGGAACGCUACCUGGUUGAUCCUGCCAGUAGUCAUAUGCUUGUCUCAAAGAUUAAGCCAUGCAUGUGA